CUAUUUUCCUUCAUCUCACCGCUAAGAGGGGCGCGAGAAUGCUCCUCCGCGCGAGCCCGGGGCUCUGGCGUUACCUAGCAACGGCUCCCAUACUGUACUCCCGCUCCAAGUGCCUGGCUGCCUUCAACUCUGGCGCUGUUUCUAUUUCUGUUGUAGCGUUGCAGUCGCCGUCUGGUAAAACAUUCAUAGCACAGUCCUCUUAGCAUGUGGCUCGUGCGGUAAUGUUUCAGUUUGAAGCACUACCCUACCCAACGCGCCGCAGAGUGAUACUGACAAAUGGCGCGUCAAAUGAUGGGUGACAGACCAGUUAAUCAUGGGCUGCCGUCUCCAGGGACGCGCUGAUUGAGUCUGAUGUAAUGGAUGUUAUUAUGGCCAGUGACAUGACAACUGCGACCUCGUGAACGGACGUCUUUCCCACACAACCAUUGUUAAAGCAGGUGCCGAAAAAACGUGAUAACGGCUGUUUCUCUCAAGCUUUUGGUAAGGGGAACAAGCAGAGCUGAAGAGGGAGGGAGAGGAUCGAGAGAAAUGGCAGUUGCAUAAACUGUCACAGUGAUGAGUUCUUAUCAUUAUGGCUCCAGACACGCAAGGGCUGCCGUUAGGCCGUGACAAGGUUUAACGCCCCCAUGAUUCCACAUGAACAGCUUCUACAAGCGCAAUCGUGUAACAAUUAAGUGUUAAAUUGAAUGGAUGAUCUGCCACAAACUGUCUGAAGUGCAUCACGCGGAUACAACAAGCUGUUUGGGAGGCAGAUGACCAUCCAUUCGUCCUCCGAUUCCAACUCCACCCACUCCGACCCCUCCAGCCAACCUUUGCAAUUUCGGCGGCAGAUCUGUCACCGAUUGGCUGAUGUGUUCUGCCCCGCCCACCAAGCCCAGCU
Molecule: long non-coding RNA, 880 nt
Organism: Onychostoma macrolepis
Lineage: Eukaryota; Metazoa; Chordata; Actinopteri; Cypriniformes; Cyprinidae
Exons: 3
Source: RefSeq, a predicted model, not a curated record